Molecule: long non-coding RNA, 650 nt
Organism: Acanthochromis polyacanthus (spiny chromis)
Lineage: Eukaryota; Metazoa; Chordata; Actinopteri; Pomacentridae
Exons: 3
Source: RefSeq, a predicted model, not a curated record
AACGUUAGCAUGCUAAUAUUCAAGCCGGUUAGCUAGUUGCCUAAUCAUGUCAUGCCCUACAUCUGAAAUAACUGCACACGCAAAAUUGGCUGAAGGCUACACAGACUUAAAUAUUGGUGAAAGAGAAAUUACUUUUAGCUAGUGGGAUUAAACCACAUUCUGUGACUAGAUUCUGUGAGCUGUAUACACAUUUCUGUCCACAGGAAACAGUGUUAUCCUACUGUAUCUCAGACUGUAUUUUGACAGUAUUAUCUGUGAACCCAUUCGUUCUACAAAUGUAAAUAUGUAAGAACACUGCAGGUACAGCACUGACUGGAUUUACAGUUCAUAGAAUCUGAUUUAUAUUACUUGCUAUUGCUGAUUUAAUAGCCAACAUGCAUGAUCCCCAUCAGUGAUCAUAGACCAGUCUUUGUGCCUUUCUCCUUCCUUUCUUCUGUCUUCAGAUGGCUUCUGACAACUUCAGACAGUGGCUGGAGAUGGGAAAAGCAUUGGCAGAUGAGUUUGCAUCAAAAAAACCAUCAAAGAAACGGAAGCAGAAGCGGACUGCAGGUUCCAGUGUUUCCUGGAGGACAAGGGACCGUAAUGGGUACAUUGUACCAAAAUACAUCCAGAGGAAUCGAUCAGUUAAACCCACUGACAUGUGUGAAAGA